UACAGAGGGUGCAAGCGUUGUCCGGAAUUACUGGGCGUAAAGGGCGCGUAGGCGGCCUGAUAAGUAGGGGGUGAAAUUCUGCGGCUUAACCGCAGGACUGCCUUCUAAACUGUCAGGCUUGAGCACGGUAGAGGCUGGUGGAAUUCCCGGUGUAGCGGUGGAAUGCGUAGAGAUCGGGAAGAACAUCGGUGGCGAAGGCGGCCAGCUGGGCCGUUGCUGACGCUGAUGCGCGACAGCGUGGGGAGCAAAC
This 250-nucleotide ribosomal RNA is filed under the name uncultured bacterium. Its description in RNAcentral is "partial 16S ribosomal RNA". It matches the Rfam family "Bacterial small subunit ribosomal RNA", at positions 524 to 773 of the family's 1533-position model. The record is from RNAcentral.